GAAUUACAGCAGCCAUGUUGUCCUUAGACGUCUAGUGAAAAACACAGACAGGUGAUUGUGUAUAUUGUGAAAGUCUGAAUGGAAGAUCAUUGUGAAACUGGAGGGAGGGACUGAAGAAGUGCUCAGGUGACAUGUCACACGAUGAUGUCAGAGCAUUUGCAACACAACACAGUAUUAGCAAUAACAUCUAGUUUACCCAUAUUUAAUUCAAACUUACAAGUUCGAGGAUUAGAACUGGUUAAACUAUUGCUCAUUGGAUCCAAGCAGUUAAAAAGAGAAAUCACUGACCCAGAGGAAAUGACAAACAUGACUAGUAUAGUCUGUAGCAAAGUAAUUUUUUUUUUUUGCUGCAGUUAAUGAGUCUAUGCUUCAGAAAAUGCUUCAGGAAACCAGACAAGCAGGGUGGUUCACUCUAUCCUGCAAGCGAACUAACCAGUAAAUUCCAGAAAGUGAGAGCACUGCAUCUGCGGAUCUUUCAAGCAGGAAAAUCGAGAGGAGACGACAGAUUACUAAUGUCAGUUCAUAUCACCACUACAGGUCAAGCUUGGCAUAGAGCUCAGUAGCAUCCGAUGGAUGAAGCAAGCAUCAGUGAUGGAGCUCCUUCCUCCUUUUACUGCCAUCUCUGCUCUUCCUCAUCCUGUAAGUCUUCCUGGC
Molecule: long non-coding RNA, 654 nt
Organism: Pangasianodon hypophthalmus (striped catfish)
Lineage: Eukaryota; Metazoa; Chordata; Actinopteri; Siluriformes; Pangasiidae
Exons: 3
Source: RefSeq, a predicted model, not a curated record